AAAUAAAUCUCAACUAAGUCCUAAUUUAAUCUUAAUUAAAAUCUAAUAGACUUCAAUCAAAUCCUAAACUAAACUCCAAAUCCUAAGCAAAUCCUAAAUCCUAAAUCUUAACCAAAUCAUAAACCUUAAAACCUAAUUAAAUUUUUAAUCCUAAAUCUUAGUCUAAUCCUAAUUCCUAACCAAAUUUUAAAUCUUAAUCCAAUCUUAAUCCUAAAUCAAACCCUAAAUAAAGCCUAACCAAUUUAAUAUAACCUUAGGACAAUUUAGAACCUUAAUAUCUAUCAAAUAAACGAAUGAUCUUGUUUAAAAUUUUAUCUACUUUUCAACAACUAAGUUGGCAACAAGCACAAAAAAAUUGAAGAGAAUCAAACUUACCAAAUAAAAAAAUAUCAAAAU
This 396-nucleotide long non-coding RNA is filed under the name Physcomitrium patens. RNAcentral describes it as "long non-coding RNA (PPAT_LNC012193)". Lineage: Eukaryota; Viridiplantae; Streptophyta; Bryopsida; Funariales; Funariaceae. The record is from RNAcentral.